GCCUCAGCUUGGCAUUCUACCCAGCAUUUCGCAUCCCUGCAUGUAGAAUCAUAUUGCAUUGCAUCAUUCCAAAUCGCGUAGCAUUUCCAUUUUCAUGGAGCAUUACGCCAUUGAAAAAUUCAAGCAUACGCAUGUAAGCAUAAAACAUUCUCGGUAUCCCAAGUGAUAAGAUAGAAGUUGUUUCCAUUACUCAGACUGAAGAUUGUUC
Molecule: long non-coding RNA, 208 nt
Filed under: Lathyrus oleraceus (garden pea)
Lineage: Eukaryota; Viridiplantae; Streptophyta; Magnoliopsida; Fabales; Fabaceae
Description: Pisum sativum (pea) long non-coding RNA (PSAT_LNC028233)
Source: RNAcentral